Molecule: small RNA, 157 nt
Filed under: Bacteroides galacturonicus
Lineage: Bacteria; Pseudomonadati; Bacteroidota; Bacteroidia; Bacteroidales; Bacteroidaceae
Description: Clostridiales-1 RNA
Source: RNAcentral
CGAUGAGAAUAGGAAUAUAUAAUGCUGUGAAUCCUGCUUGCAGGAAUUCACGGUAUUAUAUAUUUCUAUUCGAGGAGCACCGCGACAGUGACAGAAGCUUUUGCUUCUGGAACGGCAUCGUUACGAGUUAGCCACAACGUAAACCGAUCACCUACCG